CGUAACGUGAAACUUAAAAACACGCCAAGGAGUGGAUGCAAGUGAACUAUCAAUCUACUGAAACAGAAGCGGGAAAUGUAUUCGAAGACGAAAAUGCUCGCGCGACCUGUGCGUCAGACCCGGAUAAACGCACGCGAGCUGACAAAAUCCUGAGUAGCUGUUAUUCAACAUAAACACAUUUCCGCACACAUGAAGAUGGAUGACGAUAGUUCAUCUUAAAAUGAAACUUAUGUUUAUCAGCUUACCCCCAGGCCAUCCAAGAGAUGCUCUUAAGAACAACGCCCUGAUGUCCAAGGUCAACCAGCAAGAAGCUGAGAAGGCACUGCCAAAAUGGUUUACUGGGGCAAGGGACAGAGGAGGACAGAGAUCAUCAAGAAUGCAGAAAAGGAUGUCUGUUUGAGAAAGGUUAAAACUACAGUUGUUGAUUUGAACUGUUGUAGUUCUUUAAUUUUUCUUAAAGGAAAACACAAUCAUUUUUCAAUAUUUACCAUGUUCUUCCCUCAACUUAGAUGAAUUAAUACAAACCUCUCUUUUCUCAAUGU
Misgurnus anguillicaudatus (oriental weatherfish) is the source of this 542-nucleotide non-coding RNA. NCBI's taxonomy places the organism in Eukaryota, Metazoa, Chordata, Actinopteri, Cypriniformes, Cobitidae. The record is from RefSeq and is a predicted model, not a curated record.